GGAAAAUGAUAAGUGUUUAGCCGCUUUCUAUUUGGUAUUUGGUAUUUGUAUUACUUGUUUCCGGUUGGUGACCCUUAUUUUGCAUGCCAUAUCGCGGGCUCCUCCCACCCCCAGACGAUGGAGCGCCAUCUGAGACCGUAGGUCGUGUGGACGGCGAGGACUUCGUGGACUAUCCCGGAGUGUAGAGAGUAGCGCUUGUUAGGCUACAUUUUUGGUAGGCUUAGGUUAUAUUUUGGGAUGACUUUAUGUCUUAUACAUUUAUACUCAGACAUGUUUAGUGCCUUUUGGCCUUGUGAUAUAUUCGGUUUAUAACUCGUGUCUUUUGGUUGAUGAACUUAAUGUAUCCGCUGUAUGUAAAUUAUUCAGGUACACAUUUGCUUUUCGAAGCCC
This 390-nucleotide long non-coding RNA is filed under the name Trifolium pratense (red clover). Its description in RNAcentral is "long non-coding RNA (TPRA_LNC009277)". Lineage: Eukaryota; Viridiplantae; Streptophyta; Magnoliopsida; Fabales; Fabaceae. The record is from RNAcentral.